Molecule: ribosomal RNA, 414 nt
Filed under: Triticum aestivum (bread wheat)
Lineage: Eukaryota; Viridiplantae; Streptophyta; Magnoliopsida; Poales; Poaceae
Description: partial small subunit ribosomal RNA
Source: RNAcentral
AUGCCAUGCCCGCCGCCAUGGAUGAACUCCACCUCGCUGCGUUGCCCCAGCCCUCUACAGUGCCUGGAUCCGGCAAGUUCCGUGGUGGAGCGCCAUGGCCGCGCCCGUGCUUCCGUGCUCGGCGAGGCCCUGGUCGUGCGCGCCGUCGUGGAGCACCAUGGCCACACCCGUGCUUGCGGCGCCCGCUGGGAGGCCCUGGCCGCGCCCGUCGUGGAGCGCCAUGGCCACGCCCGUGUUCGCCGCGCCCGCCGGGACGCCCUGGCCGCGCCCGUGCUCAAGCAAGCAGCAACCGGCGGCGGAAGCAAGCUCCAGCAGUCGGUCACCGGCGCUCCCGUCUGGGCCGUGGACGCGACUUCCUGCACCAUACCUUGUCGCGGGAGGACGAGACGCGGCGAGGUGGACGCUGUACGUUGA